Long non-coding RNA from Bubalus bubalis (water buffalo), 1058 nucleotides. RefSeq lists it as uncharacterized. The record is from RefSeq and is a predicted model, not a curated record. The transcript has 3 exons. Lineage: Eukaryota; Metazoa; Chordata; Mammalia; Artiodactyla; Bovidae.
GGAGAGGUUAUUUACCUAAUGUCACACAGCUGGCAUUUACUUUGCCAUGUCUCCCACCUGUAGCACACACAGUCUCCAGGGCACAGAGCUGUAUGGUGCAGGGCUGAGGGCUGUGCAAAGUUACAGAAUAAAUGCUGAACCUAUACCUGGGGCAUCCUUUUCACUUACUGGCAGAAACACUGAUGGCAACAGAUGAAGGCACGUAGAAAGUGAAGAGGAAGAUGGGAGAAAGAAGCCUUUAAAAAUACAGACAUUCAAAGAAGUACUGAGGCCUGGGAGCACUGGGGCUGUGACCAUAAGCCUCCACGCAUCUGAAGGAAGGACAUGACUUGACUUCAGGAUGUUCCUCAACACAGUACUCAGGCAGAUGCUAUUGAUGGACCAGAGCUGGCAAGAGAAAAGAGCCUUUGUUUGACCUCCCUGAUCUGGAGCCCAGACAUUAGAUGAAGGAUGCUGAUGGAGUGCCUGCUUUACAUAUGCCUUGCCUCACACUGACUGUAAUGAGAAAUCUGACUAUGCCUCGCCAAAUGUCUUCUGUGGCUUCCCAUCCCUACAAUCCACACACCUCCAUUGUCUGUACCAGCCAGACUUUGACGUUCCUCUUUGCCACAGUCACAAAGUGGCCCUACCGUCCAGCCCCGAAUGAUGUUCCCGUCCAUCAUCCACCAUCUCCCUGCCUUUGCACACCUGCUUCUUUGGCCUGGGGCAACUUCCUCCUCUCUUACCUAGAGCAGUGGUUCUCAAACUUCAGCAGACCUCAAGGACAGGUUAAAACACAGAUGGUCAGGCUCCCAUAGCCAGUUUCUGUUUUUUUCUGACUGGGAUGGGCCCUUAAGAUAGACAUGUCUCGUGAUUUCCUAGGGAAUGCUGGUGCUUCUAGACUAGAGACUACACUUGGGAAACUAUGCAGGCCAAUCAAGCUCAACUAAAGCUUCGCUUCUUCUAGGAAGCCCACCCUGACUGGCCUCCUCCCCAGCUGUUAGGUUCCCGCCUUGGACCCCCACAUCCCCCUGUUACUUACUCUGUCCUUUCAUAAUGAAGGGUUAUGAAGAAACCUG